Molecule: ribosomal RNA, 109 nt
Filed under: Scophthalmus maximus (turbot)
Lineage: Eukaryota; Metazoa; Chordata; Actinopteri; Pleuronectiformes; Scophthalmidae
Source: RNAcentral
GCUUACGGCCACACCGCCUGGUUCACGCUUGAUCUCGGAAGCUAAGAUAGGUUGGGCCUGGUAAGUACUUGGAUGGGAUACCGCCUGGGAAUACCAGGUGCUGUAAGCU